GGUCUCAUGGUGUAGUUGGUUAUCACAUCUGUCUAACAUCAUCCGAAAGGACAUGUUGGGACACAGAAGGUCUCCAGUUCGAUCCUGGAUGAGACCA
Molecule: transfer RNA, 97 nt
Filed under: Chlamydomonas reinhardtii
Lineage: Eukaryota; Viridiplantae; Chlorophyta; Chlorophyceae; Chlamydomonadales; Chlamydomonadaceae
Description: tRNA tRNA-Val
Source: RNAcentral